This 497-nucleotide ribosomal RNA is filed under the name uncultured bacterium. RNAcentral describes it as "partial 16S ribosomal RNA". It matches the Rfam family "Bacterial small subunit ribosomal RNA", at positions 28 to 507 of the family's 1533-position model. The record is from RNAcentral.
GAUGAACGCUGGCGGCGUGCCUAAUACAUGCAAGUCGAGCGAACAGACGAGGAGCUUGCUCCUCUGACGUUAGCGGCGCACGGGUGAGUAACACGUGGAUAACCUACCUAUAAGACUGGGAUAACUUCGGGAAACCGGAGCUAAUACCGGAUAACGUGUUGAACCGCAUGGUUCAACAGGGAAUGACGGUUUUGCUGUCACUUAUAGAUGGAUCCCCGUCGCAUUAGCUAGUUGGUAAGGUAACGGCUUACCAAGGCAACGAUGCGUAGCCGAACUGAGAGGGGGAUCGGCGGCACGGGAACUGAGACGGGGUCCAGGCUCCUACGGGAGGCAGCAGAAGGGAAUCUUCCGCAAUGGGCGAAAGCAUGACGGAGUAGCGCCGCGUGAGAGACGGAGGUCUCCGGUGCGUAAAACUCUGUUUUUGGGGAAGAACCACUGUGUAAGGCGCUGUGCAGGUAUUGACGGUACCUAAUCAAAAAGCCACGGCUAACUACGUG